CCCUUAGAUGUUCUGGGCCGCACGCGCGCUACACUGAUGCAUUCAACGAGUCUAAAACCUGGUCUGAUAGGGCUGGGUAAUCUUUUGAAUGUGCAUCGUGAUUGGGAUAGAUGAUUGCAAUUCUUCAUCUUCAACGAGGAAUGCCUAGUAAACGCAAGUCAUCAGCUUGCAUUGAUUACGUCCCUGCCCUUUGUACACACCGCCCGUCGCUCCUACCGAUUGAAUGUUCCGAUGAAUACCAUGGACUGAGAGUAUGAAUGGGUUCGCCUAUUUCUGCUUCUCGGGAAGUGGAGUAAAUCUUAACAUUUAGAGGAAGGAGAAGUCGCAACA
RNAcentral lists this ribosomal RNA (330 nucleotides) under uncultured eukaryote. Its description in RNAcentral is "partial 18S ribosomal RNA". It matches the Rfam family "Eukaryotic small subunit ribosomal RNA", at positions 1470 to 1796 of the family's 1831-position model. The record is from RNAcentral.